AGAGUGAACGCUGGCGGUAGGCCUAACACAUGCAAGUCGAACGGCAGCACAGGAGAGCUUGCUCUCUGGGUGGCGAGUGGCGGACGGGUGAGGAAUACAUCGGAAUCUACCUUUUCGUGGGGGAUAACGUAGGGAAACUUACGCUAAUACCGCAUAAAGACCUUCGGGUGAAAGCCGGGGACCUUCGGGCCUGGCGCGGAUAGAUGAGCCGAUGUCGGAUUAGCUUGUUGGCGGGGUAAAAGCCCACCAAGGCGACGAUCCGUAGCUGGUCUGAGAGGAUGAUCAGCCACACUGGAACUGAGACACGGUCCAGACUCCGUACGGGAGCAG
RNAcentral lists this ribosomal RNA (330 nucleotides) under uncultured soil bacterium. RNAcentral describes it as "bacterial SSU rRNA". It matches the Rfam family "Bacterial small subunit ribosomal RNA", at positions 26 to 351 of the family's 1533-position model. The record is from RNAcentral.